RNAcentral lists this ribosomal RNA (352 nucleotides) under uncultured bacterium. Its description in RNAcentral is "bacterial SSU rRNA". It matches the Rfam family "Bacterial small subunit ribosomal RNA", at positions 917 to 1271 of the family's 1533-position model. The record is from RNAcentral.
GGGCCCGCACAAGCGGUGGAUGAUGUGGUUUAAUUCGAUGCAACGCGAAAAACCUUACCUACCCUUGACAUGUACGGAACUUGCCAGAGAUGGCUUGGUGCUCGAAAGAGAGCCGUAACACAGGUGCUGCAUGGCUGUCGUCAGCUCGUGUCGUGAGAUGUUGGGUUAAGUCCCGCAACGAGCGCAACCCUUGUCAUUAGUUGCUACAUUUAGUUGGGCACUCUAAUGAGACUGCCGGUGACAAACCGGAGGAAGGUGGGGAUGACGUCAAGUCCUCAUGGCCCUUAUGGGUAGGCUACACACGUCAUACAAUGGCUGGUACAAAGGGUUGCCAACCCGCGAGGGGAGCUAA